GAAAGUUCUGCAAGGUUCUUGUCCAGUUUAACCCUUACAUGUCAUCUCUCCAUCUCUCCCCCCUCAUCUUCUCUCUCCUAGUGGGUGUGGUACCUCCCUCCCUGCCUGUCCUACUUCCCUCCAGUGAGGAGCAGGACCAGGGGAAUGUGGCCCUAGUGUGCCUGGCCAACAGGGGCUUCCCGGAGGGCUGGAAGCUGGGUUGGAGGCUGGGGGCCGGGGGAGCCUUGCAGGGCAGCCAGAGUCUGGAGGUCCUGGAGAAGGAUGGUCACUACAGCUGGAGCAGCAGCCUCACCCUCCCCACUGACCAGUGGAGGAAGGCUGGCUCAGUCACCUGUGAGGCCUCCCUAAAGGACCAGACCCCCGUCACUCACACACUGGAGCCACACCACUGCUCUCAGUAGACACCCUGUACACAGAGAACA
Non-coding RNA from Oncorhynchus mykiss (rainbow trout), 422 nucleotides. The record is from the annotation of a RefSeq genome assembly. NCBI's taxonomy places the organism in Eukaryota, Metazoa, Chordata, Actinopteri, Salmoniformes, Salmonidae.